This is a non-coding RNA of Camelina sativa (false flax), 549 nucleotides long. The record is from RefSeq and is a predicted model, not a curated record. NCBI's taxonomy places the organism in Eukaryota, Viridiplantae, Streptophyta, Magnoliopsida, Brassicales, Brassicaceae.
CUUCCCGAUCUUAUCUCUUUUCUCUCUCGAAACCUUUGAUAUUUCCGGCUUAAACUCGAUAUUUUGGGAGCUUCCAUUGGUUCGAUUAUCCGAUUCAACACUUUUGUGUUCGUUUCUAGGUAAUUUGUUCCAUUCUCUUUUCCCCUAAAUUUGAGUUUAUGGGUCACUUUUUAGUUUGAGCUUGAAUUGUGUGUCUGUGUGGUCGUAUUGAUACUUUUUAUACUUGAUUUGAAUCGAUGUAGCUGCUGCAGUUUGAUUUGAUUUCUUUGAAUUGUAUUGUAUUUGAGUAUGUACUAUGCAUCAUUCGUGUCCAAGGAAGAGAUUCCAGCUGACCAGUAUGCGUUGCGUUUAAGAGGUUGAUCCCAAUACAGGAUAAUGAACAAGUAUGAAUCAUAUGGAAUCAUCCAAUAUCUAUAUAUCUGAGAAAUAUGGUGGGUUUUCCCUUUUGCCUGAUUCUCCUUCUGUUUCCCGAUUCCCUUUGUUGUUAUCGACAAUAGCAUCAUCUUUCCAUUGGCUAGUCAUCUAUAAAUGAACCGUUUAAUCCAAACA